Molecule: long non-coding RNA, 1199 nt
Filed under: Parus major (Great Tit)
Lineage: Eukaryota; Metazoa; Chordata; Aves; Passeriformes; Paridae
Description: lncRNA (ENSPMJG00000006491.1)
Source: RNAcentral
GCUUUUGUAAAUUUACCUGUGGAACUGGGAUGCUAUAAAUCUGCACAUAAUUAGGAAAAUGCUAAUGUAAGCUGAACUAUGCUGUAAUCCUUGAGAAAGGAAUAACCAUUAACCUGUAAGAACUUGGACACUUCGUUUAGUGUGUUGUUACUCCCCUCUCACAUUCCAAGUGUUAAGUUUAACAAUUCUGUGGAAUUUUGUGGGAUUUUGAGGAGGUUGAAAUAAUCUGGUGGGACUUUGAUGGAUUUUCUUGGGAUUUUUGUGGUUUUUUUUUAAGAUUUUGAGGGGGUUUAAAUAAUCUGGUGGGACUUUGAUGGAUUUUCUUGGGAUUUUUGUGGUUUUUUUUUAAGAUUUUGAGGGGAUUUAAAUAAUUUUGUGAGCUUUUCUUGAGAUUUUGUGCCAUUUUGUAGAAAUUUUGUGGAAUUUUGUGUUAUGUUGUGGUAAUUUUGUGGGAUUUUGAAGAGACUAGGAGAAUUUUGAGGACGUUUUGUGGAGUUUUGUGGGAUUUUUGUGGAAUUUUGUGGGAUUUUGAGGAGAUUUAAAUAAUUUUAUGAGUUUUUAAUGGAAUUUGGUGGGUUUUUUAAGAAAUUUUGAAGGAAUUUUGUGAAACUUUAAGGAAUUUUAUAUAAUUUUGUGGGAUUUCUGUGGGAUUUUGUGGUAUUUCUUUAGAAUUUUGUGGGAUUUUCAGGAAAUUUAAACAAUUUUGUGGGCUUUUUGUGGAAUUUUGUGGGAUUUUGAGGAGAUUGAAAUAAUCUGGUGGGACUUUGAUGGAUUUUCUUGGGAUUUUUGUGGUUUUUUUUUAAGAUUUUGAGGGGAUUUAAAUAAUUUUGUGAGCUUUUCUUGAGAUUUUGUGCCAUUUUGUAGAAAUUUUGUGGAAUUUUGUGUUAUGUUGUGGUAAUUUUGUGGGAUUUUGAAGAGACUAGGAGAAUUUUGAGGACGUUUUGUGGAGUUUUGUGGGAUUUUUGUGGAAUUUUGUGGGAUUUUGUGGGAUUUUGUGGGAUUUUGUGAGGGAUUUUGUGGAAUUUGUGGGGAUUUUGAGGGGAUUUUGUGGGAUUUUGAUGAGAUUUAGUGGAAUUUUGUGGGAUUUUGAAGAAAUUUUGAAGAAAUUGAUGAAAUUUUAAGGAAUUUUUGUGUAAUUAACAAUUAACAUUUAACAAUUUCACUGCAAAAAUAAAACAAUACCACUGUAAUGAAAUACA